This 300-nucleotide small nuclear RNA is filed under the name Rattus norvegicus (Norway rat). RNAcentral's name for it is "7SK RNA". It matches the Rfam family "7SK RNA". From Rfam's summary of the family: 7SK was discovered as an abundant small nuclear RNA in the mid-70s but a possible function has only recently been suggested. Two independent studies have found that 7SK RNA binds the CDK9/cyclin T complex (known as elongation factor P-TEFb). Lineage: Eukaryota; Metazoa; Chordata; Mammalia; Rodentia; Muridae. The record is from Rfam by way of RNAcentral.
GGCUGUGAUAUCUGUCACUGUGACAUCUGUCACCCCACUGACUGCCAGAAUUGAUUCGACUGAUCUGAUUGGCUAGGUGAAUGUCCCCUUCCUCCCUCACUGCUCCAUGUGCGUCCCUCCCAAAGCCACGUACUUGGUCGAAGAGGAUGACGUUCCCCGAAUAGAGGAGGAUGGUCUUUGGUCAAGGAUAUACGAGUAGCUGUGCUCCCCUGCUAGAACCUCCAAACAAGCUCUCAAGGAUUUCCUCAUUCUUAAUAGUUGAAUAGUAUUCCAUUGUGUACAUGAAACCACAUUUUCUGU